Molecule: unclassified non-coding RNA, 240 nt
Filed under: soil metagenome
Description: partial contains 5.8S ribosomal RNA, internal transcribed spacer 2, and large subunit ribosomal RNA
Source: RNAcentral
AACGGUCUAUACCUGCGGUACCUGCGGAAGGAUCAUUACAGAGUUCGUGCCCUCUGGGUAGAUCUCCCACCCACUGUUUUCCUUACGACCGUUGCUUUGGCGGGCCGCCGGCCCUGCCCGGCCGCCGGCGCCCAGCUGGCGCGCGCCCGCCAGAGGCCCUCCAGACUCUGAAUGUUAGCGUCGUCUGAGUACCACAUAAUAAGUUAAAACUUUUAGCAACGGAUCUCUAGAUCGGAAGAG